GACGAACGCUGGCGGCGUGCUUAACACAUGCAAGUCGAACGGAAAGGCCCUGCUUUUGUGGGGUGCUCGAGUGGCGAACGGGUGAGUAACACGUGAGUAACCUGCCCUUGACUUUGGGAUAACUUCAGGAAACUGGGGAUAAUACCGGAUAGGAGCUCCUGCUGCAUGGUGGGGGUUGGAAAGUUUCGGCGGUUGGGGAUGGACUGGCGGCUUAUGAGCUUGUUGGUGGGGUAGGGGCUUACCAAGGCUUUGACGGGUAGCCGGCCUGAGAGGGUGACCGGCCACAUUGGUACUACGAGACGGAGCAGACUCCUACGUUAGGCAGCAGUGGGGAGUAUUGCACAAUAAGGGGGAGCCUGAGGUGGCAACCCCGCGAUCGGGAUAACCUCCUACGGGGUAUAAACCGCUUUCGACUGUAACGAAGCGUGAGUGACGGUAAUUGGUAAAGAAGCACCGGCUAACUACGUG
Molecule: ribosomal RNA, 468 nt
Filed under: uncultured bacterium
Lineage: Bacteria
Description: partial 16S ribosomal RNA
Rfam family: Bacterial small subunit ribosomal RNA
Source: RNAcentral